UCCCUGGUGGUCCAGUGGUUAAGACUGUAUACUUCCAAUGCAAGAGAAGCAAGUUCAAUCCUUGGUCAGGGAA
Molecule: transfer RNA, 73 nt
Filed under: Bos taurus (domestic cattle)
Lineage: Eukaryota; Metazoa; Chordata; Mammalia; Artiodactyla; Bovidae
Also listed under: 2 other names
Rfam family: tRNA
About the family: Transfer RNA (tRNA) molecules are approximately 80 nucleotides in length. Their secondary structure includes four short double-helical elements and three loops (D, anti-codon, and T loops). Further hydrogen bonds mediate the characteristic L-shaped molecular structure. tRNAs have two regions of fundamental functional importance: the anti-codon, which is responsible for specific mRNA codon recognition, and the 3' end, to which the tRNAs corresponding amino acid is attached (by aminoacyl-tRNA synthetases). tRNAs cope with the degeneracy of the genetic code in two manners: having more than one tRNA (with a specific anti-codon) for a particular amino acid; and 'wobble' base-pairing, i.e. permitting non-standard base-pairing at the 3rd anti-codon position.
Source: Rfam by way of RNAcentral